RNAcentral lists this ribosomal RNA (491 nucleotides) under uncultured bacterium. RNAcentral describes it as "partial 16S ribosomal RNA". It matches the Rfam family "Bacterial small subunit ribosomal RNA", at positions 29 to 507 of the family's 1533-position model. The record is from RNAcentral.
GUGAACGCUGGCGGUAGGCCUAACACAUGCAAGUCGAACGGCAGCACAGUAAGAGCUUGCUCUUACGGGUGGCGAGUGGCGGACGGGUGAGGAAUACAUCGGAAUCUACUUUUUCGUGGGGGAUAACGUAGGGAAACUUACGCUAAUACCGCAUACGACCUACGGGUGAAAGCAGGGGAUCUUCGGACCUUGCGCGAUUGAAUGAGCCGAUGUCGGAUUAGCUAGUUGGCGGGGUAAAGGCCCACCAAGGCGACGAUCCGUAGCUGGUCUGAGAGGAUGAUCAGCCACACUGGAACUGAGACACGGUCCAGACUCCUACGGGAGGCAGCAGUGGGGAAUAUUGGACAAUGGGCGCAAGCCUGAUCCAGACAUACCGCGUGGGUGAAGAAGGCCUUCGGGUUGUAAAGCCCUUUUGUUAGGAAAGAAAAGCAGCAGGUUAAUACCCCGCUGUUCUGACGGUACCCAAAGAAUAAGCACCGGCUAACUUCGUG